RNAcentral lists this ribosomal RNA (344 nucleotides) under uncultured bacterium. RNAcentral's name for it is "bacterial SSU rRNA". It matches the Rfam family "Bacterial small subunit ribosomal RNA", at positions 527 to 870 of the family's 1533-position model. The record is from RNAcentral.
GUAGGGUGCGASCGUUAAUCGGAUUUACUGGGCGUAAAGCGUGCGCAGGCGGCCCGUUAAGACAGGUGUGAAAUCCCUGGGCUCAACCUAGGAAUUGCGCUUGUGACUGGCGGGCUCGAGUACGGUAGAGGGGGGUGGAAUUCCUGGUGUAGCAGUGAAAUGCGUAGAGAUCAGGAGGAACACCGAUGGCGAAGGCAGCCCCCUGGGCCUGUACUGACGCUCAUGCACGAAAGCGUGGGGAGCAAACAGGAUUAGAUACCCUGGUAGUCCACGCCCUAAACGAUGGGUACUAGCCGUUUGGUGCGCGAUAGCGCUGAGUGGCGAASUAACGCGUGAAGUACCCC